AGAAGCAGCUAUAUCACCCUGGAACUCUCAACUGGCAACUCAUUAAAGGUAAGCAGGCGUGAGCCUGGCCAGUACCAGGAUGGGAGAUCUCCUGGGAAAGCUGAGGUUGCUGCAGGAA
RNAcentral lists this ribosomal RNA (118 nucleotides) under Lepisosteus oculatus (spotted gar). The record is from RNAcentral. Lineage: Eukaryota; Metazoa; Chordata; Actinopteri; Semionotiformes; Lepisosteidae.